This 487-nucleotide ribosomal RNA is filed under the name uncultured bacterium. RNAcentral describes it as "bacterial SSU rRNA". It matches the Rfam family "Bacterial small subunit ribosomal RNA", at positions 18 to 518 of the family's 1533-position model. The record is from RNAcentral.
CCUGGCGUCAGGACGAACGCUGGCGGCGUGCUUAACACAUGCAAGUCGAGCGAUGAAGUUCCUUCGGGAAUGGAUUAGCGGCGGACGGGUGAGUAACACGUGGGUAACCUGCCUCAUAGAGGGGAAUAGACCUUCCGAAAGGAAGAUUAAUACCGCAUAAGAUUGUAGUUUCGCAUGAAACAGCAAUUAAAGGAGUAAUCCGCUAUGAGAUGGACCCGCGUCGCAUUAGCUAGUUGGUGAGGUAACGGCUCACCAAGGCGACGAUGCGUAGCCGACCUGAGAGGGUGAUCGGCCACAUUGGGACUGAGACACGGCCCAGACUCCUACGGGAGGCAGCAGUGGGGAAUAUUGCACAAUGGGGGAAACCCUGAUGCAGCAAACCGCCGCGUGAGUGAUGACGGUCUUCGGAUUGUAAAGCUCUGUCUUCAGGGACGAUAAUGACGGUACCUGAGGAGGAAGCCACGGUUAACUACGUGCCAGCAGCUGC